This 6143-nucleotide small RNA is filed under the name Arabidopsis thaliana (thale cress). Its description in RNAcentral is "ATSL087840". The record is from RNAcentral. Lineage: Eukaryota; Viridiplantae; Streptophyta; Magnoliopsida; Brassicales; Brassicaceae.
AUAAAGGGUAGCUUAGCUGGUUAGAUUUACUGAAGGUAAUUCAAUCGCUGAACGUUGAUAAUAGCUUUCGAGAAGAGAUCCUUACUCUCCAGCUAGUUAAAACUUCCCCGAUUAGUAAUGCUCUCACCCUGGGGACAUAUCUCACCUUUGUCAGCAAAACAGUAGAACCAUCUUCAUUUCUCAGUCUCACACUUCCUAUUCCCUUUACUGUUGACAUGGUGUCAUUUGCCAUCUUUACUUGUUUCACUACCAGCAUCUGAUAAACUUACAAACCAUUCUCUUCUUCCGAAAGAACAACCUGUGUCAAGUAUCCAGACUUCCCUUUGUUAGGAAUCCCUAAUUGAAAGUGAGAAGGGACCUACACUAGUAUAUAAAGGACAUGGGCCUCUCCACUCAUUGCCAAUUGGUUUUUAGUUGGAAGCCCAUGAACACUCACAUGGUAUCAAGAGCCAUGGAGGGUUCUCUUAAGUCUUAUCCUUUUCCUUCCAAUAUCAAUAUUACUAGUUGUGUCUCCAUUAAACUCAACGAUCGGAACUAUCUUUUAUACGACGAAGGAAGGGUGCGAUUGAGUCUGCUGAACUUGGGCGAGAGAUGUGACUUCGUUCCUUUCCUUUCAGUCGAGUUAUUUAAACCUCUCCAGAGCUCUGGUGUCUACGAGAAGCUUCAUGAGUCAAACAAUUGAGGAAGCCGAUACUUAUACUUUGGUAGAGAAUCUCGCAUAAAGCAAUGGGAGUCAUGGCUCGGAUUAUGAUCGGACUACAAGGAAAAACAAUGAUGAAUCUCAUCAUGCCAUCCAAGAGCUGAAUGCAAAAAUGGAUAAGAUAUUGAAGCGUGACCAAAAGAAAAGAUGACGGUAAACUCUUGUGAAGAGUAUGGUGGAUAUCAAGGGUACCAAGACUUUGGUGUUGAAGGGUAUGAGGAGCCACAAGAAGAGUUGAACUAUGUUGGAGGUCAAGGAUUCCAACCAAGGCCUUUCAACGAAGGGUUCCAAGCUAGAGGGGCUACUGCUCCAACAAAGACCACCUUACCAAGCGCCCUACCAAGCACCUUACCAAGCCCCUUACCAAGCUCAAGGGAGUUCUUUUUCUGCUCCAACUGCACCAGAUAGUGAGGUGAAGCUAAUGUUGCAACAAUUCCUUGAAGGACAAAAGAAAAGUACCAUUGAGAUGAACACAAAGAUGGACAACAUGUACAAUGAUCUUAAUGGGAAGUUUUAAACUUUGGCCUCUCAUGUCAAAUCUCUUGACAACCAAGUUGCUUAAACCGCCUCUUCAUCAAAGAGACCCAUGGGAACACUACCCGGUAAACCGGAAGCAAACCCAAGGGAACAUUUUACAUAAUGCUUAGAAGUGGAAAAGAGCUUGAGGAAGUUGUGAGAGAUGAUAAGGAAGAGGAGCAAGUUGUUGUGAGAAAGGCUAAACAGAUCGUCAACUUUCCCUUGCUUGGCAUGCUCUCAUCAGCAAGGUAUGGCUUAAGGCGCUGGCCAUUCACCGUGAAGUGUUCACCAUUGACAUCCCAAAGCACUACCGCUCCAUACGGUUUCACUUCCUUUAUGCGAAAGGGUAAAAAACAUCUAGAUCUCAACUUUCCUGGAAAUAACUUGAGUCUAGAGUUGAGGAGCAGCACUUGGUCAUUUACCUUGAACUCCCUUGGUAAGAUCUUCUUAUAAUGCCAAGCCUUAGUCCUCUCCUUGUAGAUCUUUGUGUUCUCGUAGGCCUCUUGCCUUAUUUCGUCGAGGUGGUUCAAUUGGACCAACCGCCUUUCCGAAGCGGUUUUUAUGUCAUAGUUCAACAAUUUUGUAGCCCAAAAAGCUUUGUGCUCAAUCUCAACCGGCAAAUGGCAAGACUUCCCAUAGACAAGAUUGAAAGGUGUGGUUCUUAUGGGUGUCUUGUAUGCCGUCCUAUAUGCCCAUAGCGCAUCGUCAAGCUUGGUGGACCAAUCCUUUCUUGUUUUCCCAACCGUCUUCUCGCUUUGAUUUAUCGGUUGGAGAUUUCCACUUGGCCACUUGUUUGAGGAUGGUAAGGAGUGGCAACCUUAUGCUUCACACCAUGUUUUCUUCAAAAGGUUCUCAAAAACUUUGUUGAUGAAGUGAGAUCCCCCAUCACUAAUAACCACUCGUGGUAUACCGAAUCUUGGGAAAAUCACUUUCUUAAACAUUUUUAGCACAACCUUGGCGUCAUUAGUGGGGCUCGCAAGAGCUUCCACCCAUUUUUAAACAUAAUCUACCGCCAUUAGGAUGUAUUGGUUUCCAUGAGAAGAUGGUUUUUUUCAUGAAAUAGAUGCCCCACACAUCAAAUACUUCUACUUCCAAGAUAAAGUGUUGUGGCAUCUCAUUCCUCUUUGUAAAGUUGCCCUUCCUUUGGCAAGCGUCGCAAGAAGAAACAAACCCAUGAGCAUCCUUGAACGUGGUUGGCCAAUAGAAUCCUGCUUGUAAAACAAACCUUGGCCACUGUUUUAAAUGUUGCGAAAUGUCCUGCAUACUCCGAUGCAUGCAUGGCAAUGGUAGAGAAUGCCCUUCACUUCCUCUUUUGAAAUGCAUCUCCUAAAAAGACCAUCGGAGCAUCUCUUAUACAAAAAUGGCUCAUCCAAAAAAUAAUGUUGCACAUCUCGCAAGAAUUUCUUCUUCCUAUAUCCAUGGAACAUUGGAGGCUCUUGAUCACAAGCCAAGUAAUUAAAAAAAUCGGCAUACCAUGGAAGGUCAUCUUCCAUGCUUUCCAAAAUCAUAACCGCGGGAUACUCUUCCUUCAAAUAUUCGAGCACAUAAUAGACUUUCUCUUCGGGGAGGCUAUCAUCUAUCGGUAUGUCCUCCUCGACCCGAAGUCUAGACAAGUGAUUCGCGACUCCAUUCUCAAUUCCUUUCUUGUCCUUUAUAACCAAAUCAAACUCUUGGAGAAGUAGAAUCCAUCUAAGUAGCCUCGGUUUCGCGUCCUUCUUUGCCAAUAAGUAUCUCAAAGCCGCGUGGUCCGUGUGCACUAUUACUUUGGAGCCCACCAAGUAAGACCGACCUAAACUUCUCAAAGGCGAAAACUAUGGCGAGGAGCGUAAGCGCGGUGGUGGCAUAGUUGACUUGCGCGUCGUCCAAGGUUCUACUAGCCUCAUCUUUUCCCCCUCCCCGGAUCCAUCAUCCUCGAGGAGGAGGAAAUCUAAGUCCAAGACUCUUUUAGUAAGACUAUGGAUUGCUAAUCUGCCUACGCGGAAAAGGAAGCCUUCUCCCUCUCAAACUAAAGAGUAAAGAUAGCCCUUCCUUGCCCUAAAAUACAUGUAACAUUGGAUUUGCUAGUAUUCCUACGGGGCUUACCCCCAGAGCCAUCCUAAUCCAUCUUGCUAAUGUUCCUAAUCCAUCUUUGCUAAUGUUCCGGUCUUCAAACAAGAAAGAGCUAGGGGGCUCGUUCGACCUGACGCUGGUUAGACGUGAGGUCGAACAUGUCCCGCUUCGCCCUAUGGCACUAAGUAGAUGGCGCUCAACUUCCUGUCCUUCCUUUGCCCCAAAACGGCUCCAACCGCGUAGUCACUUGCAUCGCACAUGACCUCAAAUGGUAAAUUCCAGUUGGACUAUGGGCGCGGUCACUAGAGCCUCUUUAAGCAUCAAGAAUGCCUCAAGGCAUUUCUCAUCAAACACAAAAGCCACAUCUUUGCAUAAGAGUUGUGUGAGUGGCCUAGCAAUCUUCGAUAAAUCCUUGAGAAAUCUUCUAUAAAACCCUAAUGUCCUAAGAAGCUUCGAAUACCCUUUACCAAGUUUGGUGGUUGCAAACUUGUCAUCACCUCAAUCUUCGCUUGGUCAACGAAUUUUUUACUUGUUUUGAACAGUAUUCUAAAGACACGUCUUACGAAAAGCAGAUUUAAUUUUUUGAGGAAAUUAUUAAGUGGGAUUCUGAAACGUAUAAUUACAGCUUGCACUUUUAACGAGGAACUCUCGCAAUUAGCUCUACUUUCUUUCUUUCUGGUUUUGGUGUUCCGAUAUCUUUCGUAGGAUGAGUUCGAUCCAUUAGGUUCUUCAAUUUGUUCAGAAAAGAAACAAGAAAGAAGAAAACAUCUUUGAUUACGAUUAAAAGGAACAAUCUCAAAUAGACCAAGAUCUAAUUUCGGGUCAUUUCUUGGUGAACAUGAUCUGCCAUAAUCUCUUCGAUUCCUUCAUUUAUGUGCCAGAAUAAAGAUAGAUUUGGUAGGAAAGUGGAAGAGACUUUAUUGUAUAUGAUAAUCAAAGGGAGUGGGAAAGCUGCAGUAAUUCUUUGGAAAAGCCCGGUUCUCUUUGUCUUCGAGCUUUCAUUUUGUAAUCCACUCUUUCGUUCCUUCAUAUACCUCCCCACCAAUAGAUAGAGACAAAUAGGAAUAACCAAACUACGUCUACAAAAUGCCAGUACCAUGCAGCUGCUUCAAAGCCAACGUGAUGCUCCUUCGUCAGAUGACCAAGAUAUUGCCGAAUACCACAUAUAAUCAAGAAAAGAGUACCUAUAAUCACAUGAAAACCAUGAAAGCCUGUUGCUAAGAAAAAGGUAGAACCAUAAAUACUAUCCGAAAUAGUGAAGGGUGCUUGAUAAUAUUCCAUUCCUUGAAAGCCAGUAAAUACUAGAGCCAAUAAAACGGUAGCUACUAAAGCAUAAACUGCUCGUUUUUCUUUCCCCGCGAGUAUAGCAUGAUGAGCCCAAGUUACGGCAGCUCCGGAUGAAGGGAGAAUAGGGGUAUUAAGAAAAGGGAUUUCCCAAGGAUCUAAAACCUCAAUCCCUUUUGGGGGCCAAAUACCUCCGAUCUCUACCGCAGGUGCCAAAGAAGAAUGAGAAGAAGCCCAAAAAAAAGCAAAAAAGAACAUAACCUCCGAUACGAUGAACAGAAUAGAACCAUAUCGAGGUCCUAAUUGUACGACUUUGGUAUGAUGUCCUUCCAACGUGGAUUCACGUAGAACAUCGCGCCACCAUACGAACAUGGUAUAUAGGAUAAAUAUGAGGCCCAAACUUAGAAGUCUUGCACCCCCUUGAAAUGGGUGCAUGUACAUCACACCUCCUACGGUGGUUGCCAAAGCUCCGAGUGAACCCGAAAUAGGCCAUGGACUUGGAUCUACCAAAUGAUAAGAAUGCCUCUGAGAUUCAAUCAUAAACCACUUUGUCUCGGUUAUAUGUAAACCCCCACCCUUCACCCCCACCGGGCUCUUUAUCUUUGGGGUCUAAUUUUCUUUCUAUCUGACAGGACAAACUAAUAGGAAGGGAUGGUUCUUUAAUUGCAUUGAUAGAAGUUCUAACUAGAAAAGGAUCUCUCUAUUACUUUGAGAAGAGAAUCGUUGGUUUGACCGACGGAAAGCAUGGGAGAAAGAAAGAUGCACAAACAGACUUAAAUCUAUGAAAAGAAAGAAGAGAACGAACGAACGGAUUUAGUUCUGGGGAGGUUGGUCCUCGUGUGCAUGGAUGAGCACACGGAGACACCAAUUAAGGAACGCACGGCGUGCGCUUUCCUCCUCUAUCCCUGCUAAUUCCGUAUUAAACCUUCCCCUCCACUCGGCGAUUUGCCGAUCCCGAAUGGAAUCAGCUCUUCGACCGAGAUGGAUUUGUCGUUGGAGGGCUCGUAUUUCCUGAUCCAGGCGCGCGGUUAAUUCCCGACGCCGGCCUGGAUCCCCCUCGUUCUGGAGGGCCCGUUCCGUCCCCUCGACCCGUUCCCAAGACUCCGACAAUAGGCGAUUCCGUGCUCGUAAAGAGUCGGAACUCUCUAUUUCGUUGUACAACGACGAUACGGAGGGAUUGAGAGCAAUCUCGUUACCCUCCGUAUCGGCAGGCAGGUCUACCUGUGGAACGACAAAUAAAGUGGGGGUUUCCAGAAACCCAAGAAGACAUAACGAGAGUCUCAAUAAUAAGAUAACUCGCCCUAACUUCGGGGCUAUGAAAACAAGAAAGUAAUAUACCACACCCAAACAACUUUUAGUGCCAUAUCUUCCAAAACCCAGUUUUGUACCAUCCGGUUUGCAACCCCUACUACAUCUGCCUUUACGAUAUUUACUAUAUUUCGUACGUUUCGGAUAUAGCACGUCUCCCUUUUUUUUGACUAUAUGAAAUCCACACUUUGACACCUGAGAUUCCGUAACGAGUAGAUACUUCCGCAGGAGCAUAAUCGAUUUUAUGGUUAAAUACAUUACGAGAAGUUUUUCUAUGCUUAUAGCA